RNAcentral lists this ribosomal RNA (3158 nucleotides) under Escherichia coli. Its description in RNAcentral is "23S ribosomal RNA". It matches the Rfam family "Bacterial large subunit ribosomal RNA". The record is from RNAcentral. Lineage: Bacteria; Pseudomonadati; Pseudomonadota; Gammaproteobacteria; Enterobacterales; Enterobacteriaceae.
GGGUUGUGAGGUUAAGCGACUAAGCGUACACGGUGGAUGCCCUGGCAGUCAGAGGCGAUGAAGGACGUGCUAAUCUGCGAUAAGCGUCGGUGAGGUGAUAUGAACCGUUAUAACCGGCGAUUUCCGAAUGGGGAAACCCAGUGUGUUUCGACACACUAUCAUUAACUGAAUCCAUAGGUUAAUGAGGCGAACCGGGGGAACUGAAACAUCUAAGUACCCCGAGGAAAAGAAAUCAACCGAGAUUCCCCCAGUAGCGGCGAGCGAACGGGGAGCAGCCCAGAGCCUGAAUCAGUGUGUGUGUUAGUGGAAGCGUCUGGAAAGGCGCGCGAUACAGGGUGACAGCCCCGUACACAAAAAUGCACAUGCUGUGAGCUCGAUGAGUAGGGCGGGACACGUGGUAUCCUGUCUGAAUAUGGGGGGACCAUCCUCCAAGGCUAAAUACUCCUGACUGACCGAUAGUGAACCAGUACCGUGAGGGAAAGGCGAAAAGAACCCCGGCGAGGGGAGUGAAAAAGAACCUGAAACCGUGUACGUACAAGCAGUGGGAGCCUCUUUAUGGGGUGACUGCGUACCUUUUGUAUAAUGGGUCAGCGACUUAUAUUCUGUAGCAAGGUUAACCGAAUAGGGGAGCCGAAGGGAAACCGAGUCUUAACUGGGCGUUAAGUUGCAGGGUAUAGACCCGAAACCCGGUGAUCUAGCCAUGGGCAGGUUGAAGGUUGGGUAACACUAACUGGAGGACCGAACCGACUAAUGUUGAAAAAUUAGCGGAUGACUUGUGGCUGGGGGUGAAAGGCCAAUCAAACCGGGAGAUAGCUGGUUCUCCCCGAAAGCUAUUUAGGUAGCGCCUCGUGAAUUCAUCUCCGGGGGUAGAGCACUGUUUCGGCAAGGGGGUCAUCCCGACUUACCAACCCGAUGCAAACUGCGAAUACCGGAGAAUGUUAUCACGGGAGACACACGGCGGGUGCUAACGUCCGUCGUGAAGAGGGAAACAACCCAGACCGCCAGCUAAGGUCCCAAAGUCAUGGUUAAGUGGGAAACGAUGUGGGAAGGCCCAGACAGCCAGGAUGUUGGCUUAGAAGCAGCCAUCAUUUAAAGAAAGCGUAAUAGCUCACUGGUCGAGUCGGCCUGCGCGGAAGAUGUAACGGGGCUAAACCAUGCACCGAAGCUGCGGCAGCGACGCUUAUGCGUUGUUGGGUAGGGGAGCGUUCUGUAAGCCUGCGAAGGUGUGCUGUGAGGUAUGCUGGAGGUAUCAGAAGUGCGAAUGCUGACAUAAGUAACGAUAAAGCGGGUGAAAAGCCCGCUCGCCGGAAGACCAAGGGUUCCUGUCCAACGUUAAUCGGGGCAGGGUGAGUCGACCCCUAAGGCGAGGCCGAAAGGCGUAGUCGAUGGGAAACAGGUUAAUAUUCCUGUACUUGGUGUUACUGCGAAGGGGGGACGGAGAAGGCUAUGUUGGCCGGGCGACGGUUGUCCCGGUUUAAGCGUGUAGGCUGAUUUUCCAGGCAAAUCCGGAAAAUCAAGGCUGAGGCGUGAUGACGAGGCACUACGGUGCUGAAGCAACAAAUGCCCUGCUUCCAGGAAAAGCCUCUAAGCAUCAGGUAACAUCAAAUCGUACCCCAAACCGACACAGGUGGUCAGGUAGAGAAUACCAAGGCGCUUGAGAGAACUCGGGUGAAGGAACUAGGCAAAAUGGUGCCGUAACUUCGGGAGAAGGCACGCUGAUAUGUAGGUGAAGCGACUUGCUCGUGGAGCUGAAAUCAGUCGAAGAUACCAGCUGGCUGCAACUGUUUAUUAAAAACACAGCACUGUGCAAACACGAAAGUGGACGUAUACGGUGUGACGCCUGCCCGGUGCCGGAAGGUUAAUUGAUGGGGUUAGCGGUAACGCGAAGCUCUUGAUCGAAGCCCCGGUAAACGGCGGCCGUAACUAUAACGGUCCUAAGGUAGCGAAAUUCCUUGUCGGGUAAGUUCCGACCUGCACGAAUGGCGUAAUGAUGGCCAGGCUGUCUCCACCCGAGACUCAGUGAAAUUGAACUCGCUGUGAAGAUGCAGUGUACCCGNUAUACGGUGUGACGCCUGCCCGGUGCCGGAAGGUUAAUUGAUGGGGUUAGCGGUAACGCGAAGCUCUUGAUCGAAGCCCCGGUAAACGGCGGCCGUAACUAUAACGGUCCUAAGGUAGCGAAAUUCCUUGUCGGGUAAGUUCCGACCUGCACGAAUGGCGUAAUGAUGGCCAGGCUGUCUCCACCCGAGACUCAGUGAAAUUGAACUCGCUGUGAAGAUGCAGUGUACCCGCGGCAAGACGGAAAGACCCCGUGAACCUUUACUAUAGCUUGACACUGAACAUUGAGCCUUGAUGUGUAGGAUAGGUGGGAGGCUUUGAAGUGUGGACGCCAGUCUGCAUGGAGCCGGCCUUGAAAUACCACCCUUUAAUGUUUGAUGUUCUAACGUUGGCCCCUGAUCGGGGUUGCGGACAGUGUCUGGUGGGUAGUUUGACUGGGGCGGUCUCCUCCUAAAGAGUAACGGAGGAGCACGAAGGUUGGCUAAUCCUGGUCGGACAUCAGGAGGUUAGUGCAAUGGCAUAAGCCAGCUUGACUGCGAGCGUGACGGCGCGAGCAGGUGCGAAAGCAGGUCAUAGUGAUCCGGUGGUUCUGAAUGGAAGGGCCAUCGCUCAACGGAUAAAAGGUACUCCGGGGAUAACAGGCUGAUACCGCCCAAGAGUUCAUAUCGACGGCGGUGUUUGGCACCUCGAUGUCGGCUCAUCACAUCCUGGGGCUGAAGUAGGUCCCAAGGGUAUGGCUGUUCGCCAUUUAAAGUGGUACGCGAGCUGGGUUUAGAACGUCGUGAGACAGUUCGGUCCCUAUCUGCCGUGGGCGCUGGAGAACUGAGGGGGGCUGCUCCUAGUACGAGAGGACCGGAGUGGACGCAUCACUGGUGUUCGGGUUGUCAUGCCAAUGGCACUGCCCGGUAGCUAAAUGCGGAAGAGAUAAGUGCUGAAAGCAUCUAAGCACGAAACUUGCCCCGAGAUGAGUUCUCCCUGAGACUUAGAGUCUCCUGAAGGAACGUUGAAGACGACGACGUUGAUAGGCCGGGUGUGUAAGCGCAGCGAUGCGUUGAGCUAACCGGUACUAAUGAACCGUGAGGCUUAACCUUACAACGCCGAAG